UACGUAGGGGGCAAGCGUUGUCCGGAUUUAUUGGGCGUAAAGAGCGUGUAGGCGGCUUUGCAAGUCCGUUGUGAAAACUCGAGGCUCAACCUCGAGACGCCGGUGGAAACUGCAAAGCUAGAGUCCGGAAGAGGAGAGUGGAAUUCCUGGUGUAGCGGUGAAAUGCGCAGAUAUCAGGAGGAACACCCGUGGCGAAAGCGGCUCUCUGGGACGGUACUGACGCUGAGGCACGAAAGCGUGGGUAGCAAACAGG
This 253-nucleotide ribosomal RNA is filed under the name uncultured bacterium. RNAcentral's name for it is "partial 16S ribosomal RNA". It matches the Rfam family "Bacterial small subunit ribosomal RNA", at positions 524 to 776 of the family's 1533-position model. The record is from RNAcentral.